CUCCUUCCGGGAAUCCUUCCAGGUUCCUCGUUGGCAUUGGCUUGGCUGUUCUUCUGCAAGUCGACAGCACAUCCCAGGUUCUGAAAGAAGGCAAAGAAAUGGAGGGUUCCUUGGAACAGGACAUUAAGAAGCAAAUUAUUCUGGGCAUAAGAGCUAUUGAGCCACCCGAGGAUGAAGAACAAACAGCGGAUAUUGAUCCCGGAAUGAGGCUGUUGUCUAGUGACGCACAAGGCGGAAGAGCUCCCAGGAGUGCUGGAGACCCGCCAGCCCCGCUGGGUGCCAAGUCUGCAGCAGUGCCGGAGGAAGACCGAGACCACAUCUACC
Terrapene triunguis (Three-toed box turtle) is the source of this 324-nucleotide RNA transcript. RefSeq lists it as uncharacterized. Lineage: Eukaryota; Metazoa; Chordata; Testudines; Emydidae. The record is from RefSeq and is a predicted model, not a curated record. The transcript has 4 exons.